Molecule: long non-coding RNA, 320 nt
Organism: Salvelinus fontinalis (brook trout)
Lineage: Eukaryota; Metazoa; Chordata; Actinopteri; Salmoniformes; Salmonidae
Exons: 3
Source: RefSeq, a predicted model, not a curated record
UUCCCACCAUACAACUCCCAGCUUCCUCAUUCCCAGGAUCCUUUGCAGCCAGCUCAGCAGGAGCAGACAGUGCAGACAGGCCAGGUACCUCAUGUGCAACCAUAGAAUGGAAACUGAAUUUACCAGCUUGAAGGAAGUACAAAGUCUGCCGACCCAGAGAAGACCAGAUGAUUUGCUGCUUCAAUAUGGCCUUUUGAUAUUAAUUGGGGUAUUUACAGUAGUAUGGUUAUGAGUAUCAAUGUAGACUGCACUGGUGAUCUACUUAUUUAAUUUAAGCCGUGUAUUUUAGGAAAGGAAAUUAAAGUAUGUUUACAAGCAAA